This 468-nucleotide ribosomal RNA is filed under the name uncultured bacterium. RNAcentral describes it as "partial 16S ribosomal RNA". It matches the Rfam family "Bacterial small subunit ribosomal RNA", at positions 28 to 507 of the family's 1533-position model. The record is from RNAcentral.
GACGAACGCUGGCGGCGUGCUUAACACAUGCAAGUCGAACGGAAAGGCCCUGCUUUUGUGGGGUGCUCGAGUGGCGAACGGGUGAGUAACACGUGAGUAACCUGCCCUUGACUUUGGGAUAACUUCAGGAAACUGGGGCUAAUACCGGAUAGGAGCUCCUGCUGCAUGGUGGGGGUUGGAAAGUUUCGGCGGUUGGGUAUGGACUCGCGGCUUAUCAGCUUGUUGGUGGGGUAGUGGCUUACCAAGGCUUUGACGGGUAGCCGGCCUGAGAGGGUGACCGGCAACAUUGGGACUGAGAUACGGCCCAGACUCCUACGGGAGGCAGCAGUGGGGAAUAUUGCACAAUGGGCGGAAGCCUAAUGCAGCAACGCCGCGUGCGGGAUGACGGCCUUCGGGUUGUAAACCGCUUUCGCCUGUGACGAAGCGUGAGUGACGGUAAUGGGUAAAGAAGCACCGGCUAACUACGUG